RNAcentral lists this ribosomal RNA (1466 nucleotides) under uncultured Bordetella sp. RNAcentral describes it as "partial 16S-23S ribosomal RNA intergenic spacer". It matches the Rfam family "Bacterial small subunit ribosomal RNA". The record is from RNAcentral. Lineage: Bacteria; Pseudomonadati; Pseudomonadota; Betaproteobacteria; Burkholderiales; Alcaligenaceae.
GUUUGAUUCUGAAAACCGUUAGACGCUAGCGGGAUGCCUUACAUACGAAUCGAACGGCAGCACGGACUUCGGUCUGGUGGCGAGUGGCGAACGGGUGAGUAAUGUAUCGGAACAUCGCGAGAAGUAGCAGGGGAUAACUACGCGAAAGCGUAGCUAAUACCGCAUACGCCCUGCGAGGAAGCGAAGUCGCAAGACCUUGCACUAUUGGAGCGGCCGAUAUCGGAUUAGCUGAACGUUUGAGGUAACGGCUCACCAAGGCGACGAUCCGUGUGGUUUGAAAGGACGACCAGCCGCACUGGGACUGAGACUGACCCGAACUCCUACGAGGCAGCAGUGGGGAAUUUUGGACAAUGGGGGAAACUACAGAUAAGCCAUCCCGCGUAUUAGAUCGAGGCGCAUACAAGGUUAAAGCACUUUUGGCAGGAAAGAAACGUCGUGGGUUAAUACCCGCGAAACUGACAGUACCUGCAGAAUAAGCACCGGCUAACUACGUGCCAGCGACGGUAAUACGUUAGGUGCAAGCGUUAAUCGGAAUUACUGGGCGUAAAGCGUGCGCAGGCGGUUCGGAAAGAAAGAUGUAGAAAUCCGAGUAACUUUGGAACUGCAUUUACGCUACCGGGCUAGAGUGUGUCAGGGGGAGGUGGAAUUCCGCGCUGUAGCAGUGAAAUGCGUAGAUAUGCGGAGGAACACCGAUAGCGAAGGCAGCCUCCUGGGAUAACACUGACGCUCGUAACGGCGAAAGCGUGGGGAGCAAACAGGAUUAGAUACCCUGGUAGUCCACGCCCUAAACGAUGUCAACUAGCUGUUGGGGCCAGACGCCAGUAGCGCAGCUAACGCGUGAAGUUGACCGCCUGCAGAGAGUACGGUCGCAGAUUAAAACUCAAAGGAAUUGACAGGGACCCGCACAAGCGAUGAUGUGGAUUAAUUCGAUGCAACGCGAAAAACCUUACCUACCCUUGACAUGUACGGAAUACUGAAGAGAUUUGGCACAGUGCCAUGAAGGCGCCAGACACAGACGCUGCAUGGCUGUCGUCAGCUCGUGUCGUGAGAUGUUGGGUUAAGUCCACAACGAGCGCAACCCUUGUCAUUAGUUGCUACGAGGGCACUCUAAUGAGACUGCCGGUGACGAAACCCAGGAGGAAGGGGUGGGGAUGACGUCAGAGUCCUCAUGGCCCUUAUGGGUAGGGCUUCACACGUCGCCAAUGGUCAGGACAGAGGGUCGCCAACCCGCGAGGGGGAGCCAAUCCCAGAAACCCGAUCGUAGUCGGAUCGCAGUCUGCAACUCGACUGCGUGAAGUCGGAAUCGCUAGUAAUCGCGGAUCAGCAUGUCGCGGUGAAUACGUUCGGGUCUUGUACACACCGCCCGUCACACCAUGGGAGUAGGUUUUGCAAGUAGUUAGCCUAACCGCAAGAGGGCGAUUACCACGGUAGGAUUCAUGACUGGGGUGAAGUCGUAACAAAGGUAG